This is a long non-coding RNA of Chelonia mydas (Green sea turtle), 1443 nucleotides long. RefSeq lists it as uncharacterized. The record is from RefSeq and is a predicted model, not a curated record. Lineage: Eukaryota; Metazoa; Chordata; Testudines; Cheloniidae. The transcript has 2 exons.
UGCGCCGCGGGCCUGGUGGGGAACAGCCCCUGUCCAGAGAAAGGGCCGGGAGCGCGGACACCACCGGGAGGGUCGGCCCCCUCCUCAGAAAACGGGUCAGGUAUGGGCACCGCCCCGGGGAACAGCCCGCUCCCCCCACUCCCUUCCCACAGGGACCCCCGGCCCCCGAGAAAGGGCUGGGCACAGGCACCAAGCCGGAGGCCGGGGCACUUAAGGACAGCGCGUAGAAAGAAGCAAAAUAAAUGUGGUUCCGAGUAGUCCCCGUCGAUAUCGUCCGGGAAGAACGAUUCGUGCCACAGGUGUGGAUGAAAAGGAGAGAAACCCGGGGGGCAGAAGAUGAUCCUGGGGUGAAGACAAGCCCUUGCCCUUCAUUAGUGCUCCCCACCAAAUACCCCCAAGCACUUCACAUACAUAAGGGCCUCAAUGUCUCUACGAGGACAGCUGGUGGGAUGAUCCCACUUCUACAGAUGGGGCAACCAAGAUAUAGGAUGUGCAAGGUCACCCAGGAAUCACCUGGCAGAGCUGGGCAAAAAACUCAGCUCUACUCACUGACUCCCACUUUGUCUUGCACCACACAGCAGGCCAGCUUUCCUCUGUAUAGGAGAGCAGACUGCAAAUCACACGCUAUUUUAUAAAGUGAUGUGAUGUUAAUAUUUCAAACAAAACCUCAAAGCAAUAAUGGGUCACAGACUGUAUGUGCAGGGGUCACAUGAAGGAAGACAGCUUUUUAUGCAGCUCUGGGGUGACCACAACUGAAAUAUUGUGUGGUCAGUUCUAGAUACUUUCUUAGUGAAUAGGAAUAUGAAGAAGAGUAACAGGAAUUAAGAAGCUGGAAGGACUUAUUUAUAGAGAAUUCAGACCCCAAUCCUACAAUGAGAACUGCGAAGAGAAUGGGACUCACACACACUAUUCAUUGCAGGGUUAGGGCCUAAACAUUAUUGUUAGUUCAGUGGUGUCCUAUUUUACUAAAAGGUUGUUGUUAUUCUUAUUUGGCUUAUGCAAUUUGGUCAAGCCAAGCCACAGUGUUCUUAUCAACGAUGUUCAAGGCACGAAGAAUUCAAGGAAGCUGCCAUUUGCAGUCCUCAACAAUAUGUCGUGGUUUGUGGCUGCCCACAUAGACAUAGUGGACUAUCUCUAAAAUGCCACCGAAAUUCUGCUGCUGUACAAAUUCCAUGUCCGGUACGAAACUGGUUCAGAAGGCUUGAUUUGUGUAAAUCAAACCUGGGCUGACGUUGAGUGGGAUCCAAGACAAGCCUCCCCUACUCUGUGACAAGCUAAACUUCAAUUCUGCAAUAGUCUGGCACAGCAAACUGGCAGUUUUACAAUAUCAUUUAAGUUAAAAAGAUUAAAGAUUUAGGGUGGGAUUGUCCCAAAAAAAGUGAAAAACUGGAAAAUCAGUGGAAACUGAGGUCCAGAUCCUCUGAAAGUACUUAACUUCCUUUG